GUCGAGGAACAAUGGCAUCGGUGUUUGAGGCAACGAGAAUUGAUUGCGAUAUUUUCAGCCGCUGUAUCGAUCGGUAAUCGGCGUUUCAUUGCAGACACAGUUACAGAUAUUUCCAUCGGCAUUGUAUCCGUGCAGUAGAGGCACAUACCAAAAAAUGAAACAUUUGAAAUGUUCCGAAGAGGCAGAAAUAACAUAAUUUCUACAAUCCUAAGAUGAUAGGCCGAAAGCGAUAGACGCAAUGGGAAAGACCACGAACCAUCUGUUACAUCGGAGUUGUCCUUCUUUGGUGACAUAAACCAAUCUAGAAUUCAUUUUUUUACAUUAACUGAUCAACAGGUUCUAAAAUUACCUUAUCUUGUAUGAUUUCUGGUGAUGGCUCCACAGAAUUAUUGAUGUUUGCUGUCUAACAACAUAGAACCUGUUCAUACCUGCCUAAAGAUGGCGCUGGAGUGUAAUCGAUCACAGAAGAAGAUGGGAUUAUUCCUAGUUACAAUGAUUGUUAUUGAAGUUUACUUUAUAUUUCUGAUGACAGGACGAGAACACCGUUCAGCUCUGAUGGAGGCUUUUCUGAAAAAAGAAGUCGAAAACCGAAUGAUUACACCAAUAACGGGAUGAAUGACCACGCGACCAAAUAGCAGGAUGUGACGUCACAACAGUUAUGUGUAAAGUGCACACUUUAUUUAUCUAAUUAACAUUGAUAUGUUUUGAUAAGGUUACCUGCAGUCUGAUAUUUGCUCCGAUACCAAGUUUGAAGAUUAAUGUGUACGUUUCUUUUAGUAUAAACAAGGGCAUUUACGUAUGUUAAUAUUUAUUCAUUUUGUACUUUUAUAUUAUACGGUAAAAUGACUGAACUCAAACUAUAAUUAAGAUAGUUUGUGAUAAAUAAGCAUGCAAAGAACAUCCCUGUCUAAGAUGAUUCCAUAUUUUUUCGACUUAACGCUACUGAAGAUUUUUUGGUAUUGCUACAACACUGCCGGGGAAUCCCGAACUACAUUAUGUAUUAUUAUUGCUCAAAUCGACCUAUACGAAAACUCCACCUAGGUUGUUAAUUGAUGUUCCACACAUUAUUUGCCAUCGUCAAAAUGUCAAAAAAAAAGACAAAUCAAAAUAUAUGAAGUUGUUAUCUUACUAUGUAUGCUCAACAUCAACUAGAAAUUAUGUAGAUAAACAAUGUUGACGAUGUAUGAAUAUGUGUACUCAAGACCGAUUUCACUUAUAAUAAAAAUAAGAAAACUUGA
This is a long non-coding RNA of Pecten maximus, 1238 nucleotides long. RefSeq lists it as uncharacterized. The record is from RefSeq and is a predicted model, not a curated record. The transcript is spliced from 2 exons. NCBI's taxonomy places the organism in Eukaryota, Metazoa, Mollusca, Bivalvia, Pectinida, Pectinidae.